RNAcentral lists this non-coding RNA (30 nucleotides) under Homo sapiens (human). The record is from RNAcentral. Lineage: Eukaryota; Metazoa; Chordata; Mammalia; Primates; Hominidae.
UGGGUGAGCAGGUCCAGGUGGCAUUCGUCG